RNAcentral lists this ribosomal RNA (274 nucleotides) under uncultured prokaryote. RNAcentral's name for it is "partial 16S ribosomal RNA". It matches the Rfam family "Bacterial small subunit ribosomal RNA", at positions 524 to 797 of the family's 1533-position model. The record is from RNAcentral.
UACGGAGGAUGCAAGCGUUAUCCGGAUUUAUUGGGUUUAAAGGGUACGUAGGCGGGCCUGCAAGUCUGAUUUGAAAGCACAUGGCUUAACCAUGUGAGGUAAUUAGAAACUACGAGUCUAGAGAGUGGUAGAGGUAAAUGGAAUUCCAAGUGGAGCGGUGAAAUGCGUAGAGAUUUGGAGGAACACCAGUGGCGAAGGCGGUUUACUGGGCCACAUCUGACGCUGAUGUACGAAAGCGUGGGGAGCAAACAGGAUUAGAUACCCCGUACGUCCU